UAAAGAUAGGUAAAUAAAUUAGAUCUAAUUAAAAUUAUCAAAAUAUAUUUAAAAAGAAAUAUCAUAUAAUUUUUUUUUAAAAUUGAUUUUUUAAAAGCGAAAUACCAUUUUUUCUAAAAAAUAUAUAUUUUUAAUUCAUUUUGAAAGUAUCAAUUAGAAAAAUAUAUCAUUGAUUUAAUUUUAGGUGUAAAAAAUGAUUCCUUUUAAACAAAACACAAAUUUUAUGCAAG
RNAcentral lists this long non-coding RNA (230 nucleotides) under Lathyrus oleraceus (garden pea). Its description in RNAcentral is "Pisum sativum (pea) long non-coding RNA (PSAT_LNC031568)". The record is from RNAcentral. Lineage: Eukaryota; Viridiplantae; Streptophyta; Magnoliopsida; Fabales; Fabaceae.